GGCUAUGAUGAGUUUUGCUUAUUUCUGACACCUCUUGUAUGAGAAGGGUUUUACACAAGUCCUUCCAUGAGCAGAUAAAGCAACCAUCUGAGCC
Small nucleolar RNA from Elaeis guineensis (African oil palm), 94 nucleotides. RefSeq annotates it as small nucleolar RNA snoR1. NCBI's taxonomy places the organism in Eukaryota, Viridiplantae, Streptophyta, Magnoliopsida, Arecales, Arecaceae. The record is from RefSeq and is a predicted model, not a curated record.